This 422-nucleotide ribosomal RNA is filed under the name uncultured bacterium. RNAcentral's name for it is "bacterial SSU rRNA". It matches the Rfam family "Bacterial small subunit ribosomal RNA", at positions 355 to 774 of the family's 1533-position model. The record is from RNAcentral.
UAAGGAAUAUUGGUCAAUGGAGGCAACUCUGAACCAGCCAUGCCGCGUGCAGGAAGACGGCUCUCUGGGUUGUAAACUGCUUUUAUUCGGGAAUAAACCUACUUACGUGUAAGUAGCUGAAUGUACCGAAGGAAUAAGGAUCGGCUAACUCCGUGCCAGCAGCCGCGGUAAUACGGAGGAUCCAAGCGUUAUCCGGAUUUAUUGGGCUUAAAGGGUGCGAAGGCGGCCUAUUAAGUCAGGGGUGAAAGACGGUAGCUCAACUAUCGCAGUGCCCUUGAUACUGAUGGGCUAGAAUGGGCUAGAGGUAGGCGGAAUGUGACAAGUAGCGGUGAAAUGCAUAGAAUUGUCACAGAACACCGAUUGCGAAGGCAGCUUACUAUGAUCUUAGUGACGCUGAGGCACGAAAGCGUGGGGAUCAAACA